RNAcentral lists this ribosomal RNA (605 nucleotides) under Lygistopterus sanguineus. Its description in RNAcentral is "partial 16S ribosomal RNA". It matches the Rfam family "Bacterial large subunit ribosomal RNA", at positions 1816 to 2762 of the family's 2925-position model. The record is from RNAcentral. Lineage: Eukaryota; Metazoa; Arthropoda; Insecta; Coleoptera; Lycidae.
CAUGUCCUUUUGAAUAUAAUUUAAGGUCUAAUCUGCUCAAUGAUUAAUUAAAUUGCCGCAGUAUUUUGACUGUGCGAAGGUAGCAUAAUAAUUAGUUUCUUAAUUAGAAGCUAGAAUGAAUGAUUGGACGAGAAAAUUGCUGUCUCUUUAGGAUUGUUUAUUGAAUUUUAUUUUUAAGUUAAAAAGCUUAAAUUUUAUUAAAAGACGAGAAGACCCUAUAGAGUUUAAUAUUUAUUUUUUAUUAAUAAUUAGAAAUAGUUUUGAAAAUUAAAUAUUUAGUUGGGGUGACUUAAAGAUUUAUUUAAUUCUUUAAAUAUUUAAUUGUUGAUAAAUAAUUUUUAAAUCUAGUUUCUUAAAUUUAAAAUUAAUUACCUUAGGGAUAACAGCGUAAUUUUUCUUUAAAGUUCUUAUUGAAAGAAAAUUUUGCGACCUCGAUGUUGGAUUAAAAUUAAUUUUUGGUGCAGUAACUUAAAAAUUGGGUCUGUUCGACCUUUAAAAUUUUACAUGAUCUGAGUUUAAACCGGUGUAAGCCAGGUUGGAUUCUAUCUUUAGUUUUUUCAUAUAUUUUAGUACGAAAGGACCAAAUAUAUAUUAUAUAAUAAUUG